GAUGAACGCUGGCGGCGUGCCUAAUACAUGCAACUCGAGCGAACAGACGAGGAGCUUGCUCCUCUGACGUUAGCGGCGGACGGGUGAGUAACACGUGGAUAACCUACCUAUAAGACUGGGAUAACUUCGGGGAACCGGAGCUAAUACCGGAUAAUAUAUUGAACCGCAUGGUUCAAUAGUGAAAGACGGUUUUGCUGUCACUUAUAGAUGGAUCCGCGCCGCAUUAGCUAGUUGGUAAGGUAACGGCUUACCAAGGCGACGAUGCGUAGCCGACCUGAGAGGGUGAUCGGCCACACUGGAACUGAGACACGGUCCAGACUCCUACGGGAGGCAGCAGUAGGGAAUCUUCCGCAAUGGGCGAAAGCCUGACGGAGCAACGCCGCGUGAGUGAUGAAGGUCUUCGGAUCGUAAAACUCUGUUAUUAGGGAAGAACAAAUGUGUAAGUAACUAUGCACGUCUUGACGGUACCUAAUCAGAAAGCCACGGCUAACUACGUG
Molecule: ribosomal RNA, 497 nt
Filed under: uncultured bacterium
Lineage: Bacteria
Description: partial 16S ribosomal RNA
Rfam family: Bacterial small subunit ribosomal RNA
Source: RNAcentral